AUGGGGGGACCAUCCUCCAAGGCUAAAUACUCCUGACUGACCGAUAGUGAACCAGUACCGUGAGGGAAAGGCGAAAAGAACCCCGGCGAGGGGAGUGAAAAAGAACCUGAAACCGUGUACGUACAAGCAGUGGGAGCACAGAGCAAUCUGUGUGACUGCGUACCUUUUGUAUAAUGGGUCAGCGACUUAUAUUCUGUAGCAAGGUUAACCGAAUAGGGGAGCCGAAGGGAAACCGAGUCUUAACCGGGCGUUAAGUUGCAGGGUAUAGACCCGAAACCCGGUGAUCUAGCCAUGGGCAGGUUGAAGGUUGGGUAACACUAACUGGAGGACCGAACCGACUAAUGUUGAAAAAUUAGCGGAUGACUUGUGGCUGGGGGUGAAAGGCCAAUCAAACCGGGAGAUAGCUGGUUCUCCCCGAAAGCUAUUUAGGUAGCGCCUCGUGAAUUCAUCUCCGGGGGUAGAGCACUGUUUCGGCAAGGGGGUCAUCCCGACUUACCAACCCGAUGCAAACUGCGAAUACCGGAGAAUGUUAUCACGGGAGACACACGGCGGGUGCUAACGUCCGUCGUGAAGAGGGAAACAACCCAGACCGCCAGCUAAGGUCCCAAAGUCAUGGUUAAGUGGGAAACGAUGUGGGAAGGCCCAGACAGCCAGGAUGUUGGCUUAGAAGCAGCCAUCAUUUAAAGAAAGCGUAAUAGCUCACUGGUCGAGUCGGCCUGCGCGGAAGAUGUAACGGGGCUAAACCAUGCACCGAAGCUGCGGCAGCGACACUGUGUGUUGUUGGGUAGGGGAGCGUUCUGUAAGCCUGUGAAGGUGUGCUGUGAGGCAUGCUGGAGGUAUCAGAAGUGCGAAUGCUGACAUAAGUAACGAUAAAGCGGGUGAAAAGCCCGCUCGCCGGAAGACCAAGGGUUCCUGUCCAACGUUAAUCGGGGCAGGGUGAGUCGACCCCUAAGGCGAGGCCGAAAGGCGUAGUCGAUGGGAAACAGGUUAAUAUUCCUGUACUUGGUGUUACUGCGAAGGGGGGACGGAGAAGGCUAUGUUGGCCGGGCGACGGUUGUCCCGGUUUAAGCGUGUAGGCUGGUUUUCCAGGCAAAUCCGGAAAAUCAAGGCUGAGGCGUGAUGACGAGGCACUACGGUGCUGAAGCAACAAAUGCCCUGCUUCCAGGAAAAGCCUCUAAGCAUCAGGUAACAUCAAAUCGUACCCCAAACCGACACAGGUGGUCAGGUAGAGAAUACCAAGGCGCUUGAGAGAACUCGGGUGAAGGAACUAGGCAAAAUGGUGCCGUAACUUCGGGAGAAGGCACGCUGAUAUGUAGGUGAAGUCCCUCGCGGAUGGAGCUGAAAUCAGUCGAAGAUACCAGCUGGCUGCAACUGUUUAUUAAAAACACAGCACUGUGCAAACACGAAAGUGGACGUAUACGGUGUGACGCCUGCCCGGUGCCGGAAGGUUAAUUGAUGGGGUCAGCGCAAGCGAAGCUCUUGAUCGAAGCCCCGGUAAACGGCGGCCGUAACUAUAACGGUCCUAAGGUAGCGAAAUUCCUUGUCGGGUAAGUUCCGACCUGCACGAAUGGCGUAAUGAUGGCCAGGCUGUCUCCACCCGAGACUCAGUGAAAUUGAACUCGCUGUGAAGAUGCAGUGUACCCGCGGCAAGACGGAAAGACCCCGUGAACCUUUACUAUAGCUUGACACUGAACAUUGAGCCUUGAUGUGUAGGAUAGGUGGGAGGCUUUGAAGUGUGGACGCCAGUCUGCAUGGAGCCGACCUUGAAAUACCACCCUUUAAUGUUUGAUGUUCUAACGUGGACCCGUGAUCCGGGUUGCGGACAGUGUCUGGUGGGUAGUUUGACUGGGGCGGUCUCCUCCUAAAGAGUAACGGAGGAGCACGAAGGUUGGCUAAUCCUGGUCGGACAUCAGGAGGUUAGUGCAAUGGCAUAAGCCAGCUUGACUGCGAGCGUGACGGCGCGAGCAGGUGCGAAAGCAGGUCAUAGUGAUCCGGUGGUUCUGAAUGGAAGGGCCAUCGCUCAACGGAUAAAAGGUACUCCGGGGAUAACAGGCUGAUACCGCCCAAGAGUUCAUAUCGACGGCGGUGUUUGGCACCUCGAUGUCGGCUCAUCACAUCCUGGGGCUGAAGUAGGUCCCAAGGGUAUGGCUGUUCGCCAUUUAAAGUGGUACGCGAGCUGGGUUUAGAACGUCGUGAGACAGUUCGGUCCCUAUCUGCCGUGGGCGCUGGAGAACUGAGGGGGGCUGCUCCUAGUACGAGAGGACCGGAGUGGACGCAUCACUGGUGUUCGGGUUGUCAUGCCAAUGGCACUGCCCGGUAGCUAAAUGCGGAAGAGAUAAGUGCUGAAAGCAUCUAAGCACGAAACUUGCCCCGAGAUGAGUUCUCCCUGACCCUUUAAGGGUCCUGAAGGAACGUUGAAGACGACGACGUUGAUAGGCCGGGUGUGUAAGCGCAGCGAUGCGUUGAGCUAACCGGUACUAAUGAACCGUGAGGCUUAACCUU
This 2502-nucleotide ribosomal RNA is filed under the name Escherichia coli. Its description in RNAcentral is "partial 23S ribosomal RNA". It matches the Rfam family "Bacterial large subunit ribosomal RNA", at positions 444 to 2925 of the family's 2925-position model. Lineage: Bacteria; Pseudomonadati; Pseudomonadota; Gammaproteobacteria; Enterobacterales; Enterobacteriaceae. The record is from RNAcentral.